Molecule: ribosomal RNA, 253 nt
Filed under: uncultured bacterium
Lineage: Bacteria
Description: partial 16S ribosomal RNA
Rfam family: Bacterial small subunit ribosomal RNA
Source: RNAcentral
UACGAAGGGGGCUAGCGUUGUUCGGAAUUACUGGGCGUAAAGGGCGCGUAGGCGGGUCUUUAAGUCAAGGGUGAAAUCCUGGAGCUCAACUCCAGAACUGCCUUUGAUACUGAAGAUCUUGAGUUCGGGAGAGGUGAGUGGAACUGCGAGUGUAGAGGUGAAAUUCGUAGAUAUUUGCAAGAACACCAGUGGCGAAGGCGGCUCACUGGCCCGAUACUGACGCUGAGGCACGAAAGCGUGGGGAGCAAACAGG